GAUGAAGAACGUAGCGAAAUGCGAUACGUAAUGUGAAUUGCAAAUUCAGUGAAUCAUCGAGUAUUUGAACGCACAUUGCGCCCCCUGGUAUUCCGGGGGGCAUGCCUGUCCGAGCGUCAUUGCUGCCCUCAAGCACGGCUUGUGUGUUGGGCCCCGUCCUCCGAUCCCGGGGGACGGGCCCGAAAGGCAGCGGCGGCACCGCGUCCGGUCCUCGAGCGUAUGGGGCUUUGUCACCCGCUCUGUAGGCCCGGCCGGCGCUUGCCGAUCAACCCAAAUUUUUUAUCCAGGUUGACCUCGGAUCAGGUAGGGAUACCCGCUGAACUUAAGCAUAUCAAUAAGCGGAGGA
This 346-nucleotide unclassified non-coding RNA is filed under the name soil metagenome. RNAcentral describes it as "partial contains 5.8S ribosomal RNA, internal transcribed spacer 2, and large subunit ribosomal RNA". The stretch from base 1 to 119 matches the Rfam family "5.8S ribosomal RNA", at positions 35 to 154 of the family's 154-position model. The record is from RNAcentral.